This 497-nucleotide ribosomal RNA is filed under the name uncultured bacterium. RNAcentral's name for it is "partial 16S ribosomal RNA". It matches the Rfam family "Bacterial small subunit ribosomal RNA", at positions 28 to 507 of the family's 1533-position model. The record is from RNAcentral.
GACGAACGCUGGCGGCGUGCCUAAUACAUGCAAGUUGAGCGAUGAAGACUGGUGUUUGCACCAUUUUGAAGAGCAGAGAACGGGAGAGUAACGUGAGGGGCAUCUGCCUUUCAGUGGGGGACAAUAAGUGGAAACGAAUUCUAAUACGGCAUAACAACUUUAAACAUGAGUUUUAAGUUUACAAGAUGCCAUUGCAUCAUUCAAAGAUGAUUUCGCGGUGUAUUAGCUAGUUGGUGAGGUAAGGGCUCAUCAAGGCGAUGUUACAUAGCCGGCCUGAGCGGACGAUCGGCCACCGUGGGAGUGAGACAGGCCCCAAACUCCUAGAGGAAGCAGCCGUACGGCAACUUCGGCGAUCAGCGGGAGUCAGACCACGCAACGCCGUAUGAGUGAAGAAGGUUUUCGGCUCGUAAAUCUCUGUUUGUAGAGAGGAACGUUAGUGAGACUGGAAAGCUCAUCAAGUGACGGUAACGGCCCAGAAAGGGACGGCUAACUACGUG